RNAcentral lists this ribosomal RNA (474 nucleotides) under uncultured bacterium. RNAcentral describes it as "bacterial SSU rRNA". It matches the Rfam family "Bacterial small subunit ribosomal RNA", at positions 28 to 497 of the family's 1533-position model. The record is from RNAcentral.
GAUGAACGCUAGCGACAGGCUUAACACAUGCAAGUCGAGGGGUAACAGGGUAGCAAUACCGCUGACGACCGGCGCACGGGUGAGUAACGCGUAUGCAACCUGCCUAUAACUGGGGAAUAGCUCCCUGAAAGGGGAAUUAACACCGCAUAACACUAUUGAUUCGCAUGGAUUAGUAGUUAAAUGUAGCGAUACAGGUUAUAGAUGGGCAUGCGUGACAUUAGCUAGUUGGUGAGGUAACGGCUCACCAAGGCUACGAUGUCUAGGGGUUCUGAGAGGAAGGUCCCCCAACUGGUACUGAGACACGGACCAGACUCCUACGGGAGGCAGCAGUGAGGAAUAUUGGUCAAUGGGCGCAAGCCUGAACCAGCCAUGUCGCGUGCAGGAAGACUGCCCUAUGGGUUGUAAACUGCUUUUAAGUAGAAGAAACACAUCUACGCGUAGAUGUCUGCCAGUAUACUAUGAAUAAGCAUCGGA